RNAcentral lists this ribosomal RNA (433 nucleotides) under uncultured bacterium. RNAcentral describes it as "partial 16S ribosomal RNA". It matches the Rfam family "Bacterial small subunit ribosomal RNA", at positions 29 to 507 of the family's 1533-position model. The record is from RNAcentral.
AACGAACGCUGGCGGCAUGCCUAACACAUGCAAGUCGAACGAGACCUUCGGGUCUAGUGGCGCACGGGUGCGUAACGCGUGGGAACCUGCCCUUAGGUUCGGAAUAACUCCCCGAAAGGGGUGCUAAUACCGGAUAAUGUCUUCGGACCAAAGAUUUAUCGCCUUUGGAUGGGCCCGCGUUGGAUUAGCUAGUUGGUAGGGUAAAAGCCUACCAAGGCGACGAUCCAUAGCUGGUCUGAGAGGAUGAUCAGCCACACUGGGACUGAGACACGGCCCAGACUCCUACGGGAGGCAGCAGUGGGUAAUAUUGGACAAUGGGCGAAAGCCUGAUCCAGCAAUGCCGCGUGAGUGAUGAAGGCCUUAGGGUUGUAAAGCUCUUUUACCCGGGAUGAUAAUGACAGUACCGGGAGAAUAAGCACCGGCUAACUCCGUG